This 529-nucleotide ribosomal RNA is filed under the name Trigonopterus sp. 263 AR-2022a. RNAcentral describes it as "partial large subunit ribosomal RNA". Lineage: Eukaryota; Metazoa; Arthropoda; Insecta; Coleoptera; Curculionidae. The record is from RNAcentral.
GGCUUAUUGAUUUUAAUUUUAGGUUAGGCCUGCCCAAUGAGUUUUUAAAUGGCCGCGGUAUAUUGACCGUGCAAAGGUAGCAUAAUUAUUAGUUUUUUAAUUGAAAGCUUGUAUGAAAGGUUUGAUGAAAAAAUUUCUGUCUYUGAAAGAAUUUAUUAGAAUUUUAUUUUUGAGUUAAAAAGCUUAAAUUUAUAUAGAAGACGAGAAGACCCUAUAGAGUUUUAUAUUUAUUUAAGCAAUAAAAUUAAAGGAUUAAAAAUUUAUGUGUUUAUUUAAGUAUUUUGUUGGGGUGAUAGAAAAACUAAUUUAACUUUUUUUUAUAUAAUGAACACUAAUUUGUGAAUUUUUGAUCCUUAAAUUUAGAUUAUAAGAUUAAAUUACCUUAGGGAUAACAGCGUAAUUUUUUUUAGAGUUCUUAUCGAAAAAAAAGAUUGCGACCUCGAUGUUGGAUUAAAAUUAAUUAGUGGYGUAGAGGCUUCAUUAAUUAGGUCUGUUCGACCUUUAAAAUUUUACAUGAUCUGAGUUUAAA